AUUGAACGCUGGCGGCAUGCUUUACACAUGCAAGUCGAACGGUAACAGCACUUCGGUGGCUGACGAGUGGCGAACGGGGGAGUAAUACAUCGGAACGUGCCUAGUAGUUGGGGAUAACUACUCGUAAGAGUAGCUAAUACCGCAUGAGAUCUAAGGAUGAAAGCAGGGGACCUUCGGGCCUUGCGCUACUAGAUCGGCUGAUGGCGGAUUAGGUAGUUGGUGGGAUAAAAGUUUACCAAGCCGACGAUCUGUAGCUGGUCUGAGAGGACGACCAGCCACACUGGGACUGAGACACGGCCCAGACUCCUACGGGAGGCAGCAGUGGGGAAUUUUGGACAAAGGGCGCAAGCCUGAUCAAGCAAUGCCGCGUGCAGGAUGAAGGCCUUCGGGUUGUAAAAUGCAUUUGUACGGAACGAAAAGACCUCUCCUAAUCCAGGAGGGUCAUGACGGUACCGUAAGAAUAAGCCCCGGCUAACUACGUG
Molecule: ribosomal RNA, 482 nt
Filed under: uncultured bacterium
Lineage: Bacteria
Description: partial 16S ribosomal RNA
Rfam family: Bacterial small subunit ribosomal RNA
Source: RNAcentral